UGGAGGGGUCGAUUCUGGCUCAGGAUGAACGCUGGCGGCGUGCUUAACACAUGCAAGUCGAACGGGAUCCAUCAGGCUUUGCUUGGUGGUGAGAGUGGCGAACGGGUGAGUAAUGCGUGACCGACCUGCCCCAUACACCGGAAUAGCUCCUGGAAACGGGUGGUAAUGCCGGAUGCUCCGACUCCUCGCAUGGGGUGUCGGGAAAGAUUUCAUCGGUAUGGGAUGGGGUCGCGUCCUAUCAGGUAGUCGGCGGGGUAACGGCCCACCGAGCCUACGACGGGUAGCCGGCCUGAGAGGGCGACCGGCCACAUUGGGACUGAGAUACGGCCCAGACUCCUACGGGAGGCAGCAGUGGGGAAUAUUGCACAAUGGGCGCAAGCCUGAUGCAGCGACGCCGCGUGCGGGAUGACGGCCUUCGGGUUGUAAACCGCUUUUGAUCGGGAGCAAGCCUUCGGGUGAGUGUACCUUUCGAAUAAGCACCGGCUAACUACGUGCCAGCAGCCGCGGUAAUACGUAGGGUGCAAGCGUUAUCCGGAAUUAUUGGGCGUAAAGGGCUCGUAGGCGGUUCGUCGCGUCCGGUGUGAAAGUCCAUCGCUUAACGGUGGAUCUGCGCCGGGUACGGGCGGGCUGGAGUGCGGUAGGGGAGACUGGAAUUCCCGGUGUAACGGUGGAAUGUGUAGAUAUCGGGAAGAACACCAAUGGCGAAGGCAGGUCUCUGGGCCGUUACUGACGCUGAGGAGCGAAAGCGUGGGGAGCGAACAGGAUUAGAUACCCUGGUAGUCCACGCCGUAAACGGUGGAUGCUGGAUGUGGGGCCCGUUCCACGGGUUCCGUGUCGGAGCUAACGCGUUAAGCAUCCCGCCUGGGGAGUACGGCCGCAAGGCUAAAACUCAAAGAAAUUGACGGGGGCCCGCACAAGCGGCGGAGCAUGCGGAUUAAUUCGAUGCAACGCGAAGAACCUUACCUGGGCUUGACAUGUUCCCGACAGCCGUAGAGAUAUGGCCUCCCUUCGGGGCGGGUUCACAGGUGGUGCAUGGUCGUCGUCAGCUCGUGUCGUGAGAUGUUGGGUUAAGUCCCGCAACGAGCGCAACCCUCGCCCUGUGUUGCCAGCACGUCAUGGUGGGAACUCACGGGGGACCGCCGGGGUCAACUCGGAGGAAGGUGGGGAUGACGUCAGAUCAUCAUGCCCCUUACGUCCAGGGCUUCACGCAUGCUACAAUGGCCGGUACAACGGGAUGCGACACGGCGACGUGGAGCGGAUCCCUGAAAACCGGUCUCAGUUCGGAUUGGAGUCUGCAACCCGACUCCAUGAAGGCGGAGUCGCUAGUAAUCGCGGAUCAGCAACGCCGCGGUGAAUGCGUUCCCGGGCCUUGUACACACCGCCCGUCAAGUCAUGAAAGUGGGUAGCACCCGAAGCCGGUGGCCUAACCCUUUGUGGAUGGAGCCGUCUAAGGUGAGACUCGUGAUUGGGACUAAGUCGUAACAAGGUAGCCGUACCGGAAGGUGCGGCUGGAUCACCUCCUUU
This 1524-nucleotide ribosomal RNA is filed under the name Bifidobacteriaceae bacterium MCC01993. RNAcentral describes it as "bacterial SSU rRNA". It matches the Rfam family "Bacterial small subunit ribosomal RNA". The record is from RNAcentral. Lineage: Bacteria; Bacillati; Actinomycetota; Actinomycetes; Bifidobacteriales; Bifidobacteriaceae.